Molecule: transfer RNA, 67 nt
Filed under: Marmota monax (woodchuck)
Lineage: Eukaryota; Metazoa; Chordata; Mammalia; Rodentia; Sciuridae
Description: tRNA.Ala
Source: RNAcentral
GGUUGUGGCUCGGAGGUAGAGCGCUAGCCUAGCAUGCGUGAGGCACUGGGUUCGAUCCUCAGCACCA